RNAcentral lists this non-coding RNA (102 nucleotides) under Propionispora sp. 2/2-37. Its description in RNAcentral is "Glycine riboswitch aptamer". It matches the Rfam family "Glycine riboswitch aptamer". From Rfam's summary of the family: This family represents the bacterial glycine riboswitch. Glycine riboswitches usually consist of two metabolite-binding aptamers domains with similar structures in tandem. RNAcentral also lists the same sequence under 1 other name. The record is from Rfam by way of RNAcentral. Lineage: Bacteria; Bacillati; Bacillota; Negativicutes; Selenomonadales; Sporomusaceae.
UGAUGGAACUCUGGAGAGCCCCUGUAACAGAUACAGGGCGCCGAAGGGGCAAACCGGUUGUCAGCCGGUGAAACUCUCAGGCAAAAGGACAGAGCAGGCAUU